GACGAACGCUGGCGGCGUGCUUAACACAUGCAAGUCGAACGGAAAGGCCCUGCUUUUGUUGGGCGCUCGAGUGGCGAACGGGUGAGUAACACGUGUGUAACCUGCCCUUGACUUUGGGAUAACUUCAGGAAACUGGGGCUAAUACCGGAUAGGAGCUCCUGCUGCAUGGUGGGGAAUGGAGAGUUGCGGCGGUUGGGGAUGUACUCGCGGCUUACGAGCUGGUUGGUGUGGUAGUUGCAGACCAAGGCUUAGACGGGUAGCCGGCCUGAGAGGGUGAACGGCCACAUUGGGACUGAGGUACGGAGCAGACUCCAACGGGCGGCAGCAGUGGAGAGUAUUGCAGAGUGGGCGGAAGCCUGAUACAGAAACGCCGCGUGCGGGAUGCCGGCUUUCGGGGUGUAAACAGCUUUCGCCUGUGACGAAGCGUGAGUGACGGUAAUGGGUCAAGAAGCACCGGCUAACUACGUG
This 468-nucleotide ribosomal RNA is filed under the name uncultured bacterium. RNAcentral's name for it is "partial 16S ribosomal RNA". It matches the Rfam family "Bacterial small subunit ribosomal RNA", at positions 28 to 507 of the family's 1533-position model. The record is from RNAcentral.